RNAcentral lists this RNase P RNA (349 nucleotides) under Tepidibacter hydrothermalis. RNAcentral describes it as "Tepidibacter sp. SWIR-1 RNase P RNA component class A". It matches the Rfam family "Bacterial RNase P class A". Rfam says of the family: Ribonuclease P (RNase P) is a ubiquitous endoribonuclease, found in archaea, bacteria and eukarya as well as chloroplasts and mitochondria. Its best characterised activity is the generation of mature 5'-ends of tRNAs by cleaving the 5'-leader elements of precursor-tRNAs. Lineage: Bacteria; Bacillati; Bacillota; Clostridia; Peptostreptococcales; Peptostreptococcaceae. The record is from RNAcentral.
UGAGUAAGUCGGAUAGUCGCAGAUGCCUUUAUAGGCAGACGAGGAAAGUCCGAGCUCCGUAGAGCAGGGUGCUGGGUAAUACCCAGUGGAGGCGACUCUAAGGAUAGUGCAACAGAAAUAAACCGCCACAAUUAAUUGUGGUAAGGAUGGAAAGGUGAGGUAAGAGCUCACCAGCAGCUAGGUGACUAGUUGGCUAUGUAAACCCCACCUGGAGCAAGACCAAGUAGGGACAUGAAAAGAGGGCUGCUCGCUCUCGUCCCGUUGGUAGGUCGCUUGAGUCUACUGGCAACAGUAGGCCUAGAUAGAUGACUAUUUAACACAAAACUCGGCUUAUAGAUUUACUCAUUAU